GGUUUAGGAUUUAGGGUUUAGGAUUUAGGGUUUAGGGUUCAGAGUUUAGGGUUUAGGGUUUAGGGUUUAGAGUUUAGGGGUGGGGUUUAGGAUUUAGGAUUUAGGGUUAAGGGGUGGGGUUUAGGAUUUAGGGUUUAGGGUUUAGAAUUUAGGGUUUAGGGUUUAGAGUUUAGGGGUGGGGUUUAGGGUUUAGGUUUAGAGUUAAGGGGUGGAGUUUAGGAUUUAGGGUUUAUGGUUUAGAGUUUAGGUUUUAGGGUUUAGAGUUGGGGAGUGGAGUUUUGGGAUAAGAUUUCAAAUUUUGAAAAAUAAAAAAAAUUUAAAUUUUUCAAAAGAUAAAAUGCUAUUUUAGUCAUUUUAGUUU
RNAcentral lists this long non-coding RNA (361 nucleotides) under Brassica napus (rape). RNAcentral's name for it is "long non-coding RNA (BNAP_LNC023567)". The record is from RNAcentral. Lineage: Eukaryota; Viridiplantae; Streptophyta; Magnoliopsida; Brassicales; Brassicaceae.